RNAcentral lists this ribosomal RNA (433 nucleotides) under uncultured bacterium. RNAcentral describes it as "partial 16S ribosomal RNA". It matches the Rfam family "Bacterial small subunit ribosomal RNA", at positions 29 to 507 of the family's 1533-position model. The record is from RNAcentral.
AACGAACGCUGGCGGCAUGCCUAACACAUGCAAGUCGAACGAGACCUUCGUGUCUAGUGGCGCACGUGUGCGUAACGCGUGGGAACCUGCCCUUAGGUUCGGAAUCACUCCCCGUAAGGGGUGCUAAUACCGGUUAAUGUAUUCGGACCAAAGAGUUAUCGCCUUUGGAUGGGGCCGCGUUGGUUUAGCUGGUUGGUAGGGUAAAAGCCUAGCAACGCGAGGUUGCAUAGCUGGUCUGAGAGGAUGACCAGCCACACUGGGCCUGAGACACGGCCCAGACUGCUACGGGAGGGAGCAGUGGGGAAUAUUGGACGAUGGGCGAAAGCCUGAUACAGCAAUGCCGCGUGAGUGAUGAAGGCCUUAGGGUUGUAAAGCUCUUUUACCCGGGAUGAUAAUGACAGUACCGGGAGAAUAAGCUCCGGCUAACUCCGUG